GCGAUUGUCCCAUCAGGCAUGCUUGCUCCUAUCUCUGUUCUUCUUCCAUAGUUGUUUAGGGUUUGUUCGUAGGAUUCCUCAUUAAGCAAUCGAAUCCAGAACGGAGAGAGGGGGAAAAGAAAAAAGAAAUCACCAGCCUCUCCUGGGCCUUGCGGCGGUGGCGCUUCUGGUGACUGGAGGCCAGCUCCAGAUCAUAGGAGGCGUACCCCUUGCCCACCUUGUAUGCUGCGCACUAUUUGCUGCUCUCCCUCUGCCGAUGCACUCCCUCCAUUUUUGAAGUGGAAUGACUAUGGAAACUGUUGAAGCUUUAGUGUGCCUAGACUGGAUAAGGGCCAUAUCUAAUACUCAGCGUCCCAUGGAUUCAGUUCAUGACAUUAUCUUGGCUUUGGAAGGUAAUGAGACUGUAGAGGCAAGCUCAUAUAGCAGGAGGAAUAGCCAUGCAGCGAGUGAGCAAGCAAGCAAGCGAUUCAGUAAUAUCCAGUGGCAGAGUACUGAAAAAACUGAAUGAAUUAUUAUUCCAUAUUAUUUAUGAAUCAGUGCCAUCUUGAUUGUUGCUGUAAUAAUAUUUGCUUGUGAUGAUU
Long non-coding RNA from Panicum virgatum (switchgrass), 581 nucleotides. RefSeq lists it as uncharacterized. Lineage: Eukaryota; Viridiplantae; Streptophyta; Magnoliopsida; Poales; Poaceae. The record is from RefSeq and is a predicted model, not a curated record. The transcript is spliced from 3 exons.